Molecule: unclassified non-coding RNA, 181 nt
Filed under: uncultured Talaromyces
Lineage: Eukaryota; Fungi; Ascomycota; Eurotiomycetes; Eurotiales; Trichocomaceae
Description: sequence contains ITS1
Source: RNAcentral
CUGAGUGCGGGUUCUGUUCGAGCCCAACCUCCCACCCGUGUUUACCGUGACCAUGUUGCUUUGGCGGGCCCACUAGGGCUCCCCUCUGGUCGCCGGGGGGCUCCUGUCCCCGGGCCCGUGCCCGCCGAAGCGCCUGUGAACCCUGUCUGAAUAGUGAGUCUGAGUGAGGGAUGAAUCAUUA